AAUAAAUACAUAAAAUAAAUAAAUACAUAAAUAAAAUAGAUAUGUAUUUAUGCAAACCAUAGAAAAAUGUUUGGCAACCAUCGCAAGAUACCUGACAAUGUGAAAUAGUUUUAUUACAACUGGCCUGACCUUCAAAGGCCUUCACAGCUCCUGCCUUCAUGUUACCGUCUACUAUGUUCCUCGUGCACCUUCCACUCAGCACAAACAGGCUGCACUGCCUCCGAAACACAUCACUGGAACCCUGCCUCUGCUCCUUUGUCCAUCUGAAUCACCCUCUCCACAUUUCUGACCCUGUAAUCCUGAUCUCACUUCAUGAGGCAGUUCGCUUCUCUUUUGCAUUUAGCUUUCCCCGGGGUACACUGUCAAUAGCCUACUGUCUGAUGUCAUCAGUCAGCACUUCAUCAGAGGCAAUUAUGUCCACAGAGCUUUUGGCUAAUUACUGUCACUCCUCUUUACAUGUGUGCAUAUGCAUAUCAUCUUUCCCUAAUGAGACUGGAAAUCAUGAUUCAUUCCCUGGAGCAGUGGUUUCCAUAAGUGACCAACCCACAGACCAGUGCAAACUGGCUGCAAAAGAGCUUCCUCUGAGGAACUUAUUAGAAUGCAGAUUCUUUGACUGCAUGGGAGAGGAGGAUCUCAUAAAUCUGGGUGUAAUAGGCACAGAACGUUAGGUGUAAUAUGGGCGGGACUCUGGACUCAGCAUAUCCAACAAGCUGCUGGCUGAUUCCGAUGAUGCCGAUGAAUUGCCAGGUUGGGAACUGCUGCCCCCAGAGAACCUAGCAGAGAGCUCUGUACGUGGUAGGUGCUCACUCCCCUAUUGUUUGGGUGUAUGCCUCCUGAUAAUGAACUUGAUCGUAACAUUAUUGUUGCAUUAUGCCUGUAUUGUUUCCUUAGGUGAAGGAAGAAUGCUUUUGAGUACCUAAUAGGUGGCAAGCUCUGUGCCUACUUACAUACAUGAACUAUUCCUUUUAAUAACCUUUGGAAAUAAAGUGGCAUUUCCAUUGGGCAUUAGAAAUCUGAAGACUUUCGUUUACAGCUGUUGCAACAGCAGAACUAGAAUUCGACCUCCGACAUUUCUGCUCACCAGAGGGCAUGAACUGCUGGUUUGUACCUGGCUUGCAGAUACCUUCUUUGGGCAGCACAAUGUUCAAAAUUAAAAAAACUACCAACACUUCUAAACUGGAUACUUUGUAUCAAUAUCUGGGUUUCUGGCUUCUCUUCAUGGGAAACAAACAAACAAAAAAAAAGGUUUGGUGAACAAUGGGGCCCACAUUCCUGCAGGGCAACAGUCACAUGGAGACUUUAGAUGGGCACGUGCCCAGAACACACUAGAGUCCCCAUCGCUCCCCAUUCUCUUACAUUCUGUUCCCAACUAGGUUCUUAUAGGCCUGGGUUUGUGCCUGUUGCACACUUAUCUACUCUCUUGCUUCCCACUGGUCAGGAAGUCUGGCAAACUUAAAAGGCCUCUUUUUGUUGCUCUCUCCUGUAUGGAUCUCUCAUCAUAGAGGUGUGUGCAUUUCUGACUUUGUGAUUUCAAUACUAAGGAAGCUGUCGGCACAUUAUCAAGGAAAACGGGGAUCGCUGCUCCCCAACGUACACAUUCUGGUGUGCCCCAGUAAAAUUCUAUAUUCAGCCUCCAAACUAGCUGGGAAAAAUGUGGCAAAUCAUCUACUUGCUCCAAUUCAAUAGUGUUUAGAAGUAAGAAGUCACUGUGAGCAAUGCCACCAAGUGGUGGAGAGACUCCAUGCAGAAUCGCCACCUU
This 1759-nucleotide long non-coding RNA is filed under the name Homo sapiens (human). Its description in RNAcentral is "non-protein coding lnc-SPECC1-1:2". Lineage: Eukaryota; Metazoa; Chordata; Mammalia; Primates; Hominidae. The record is from RNAcentral.